GUGGGUAUAGUUUAAUGGUAAAGCAUUAGCCUUCCAAGCUAAGGUUGACAGUUCAAGUCUGUUUACCCACU
Molecule: transfer RNA, 71 nt
Filed under: Flavobacteriales bacterium
Lineage: Bacteria; Pseudomonadati; Bacteroidota; Flavobacteriia; Flavobacteriales
Description: tRNA-Gly
Rfam family: tRNA
About the family: Transfer RNA (tRNA) molecules are approximately 80 nucleotides in length. Their secondary structure includes four short double-helical elements and three loops (D, anti-codon, and T loops). Further hydrogen bonds mediate the characteristic L-shaped molecular structure. tRNAs have two regions of fundamental functional importance: the anti-codon, which is responsible for specific mRNA codon recognition, and the 3' end, to which the tRNAs corresponding amino acid is attached (by aminoacyl-tRNA synthetases). tRNAs cope with the degeneracy of the genetic code in two manners: having more than one tRNA (with a specific anti-codon) for a particular amino acid; and 'wobble' base-pairing, i.e. permitting non-standard base-pairing at the 3rd anti-codon position.
Source: RNAcentral